RNAcentral lists this ribosomal RNA (498 nucleotides) under uncultured bacterium. RNAcentral describes it as "partial 16S ribosomal RNA". It matches the Rfam family "Bacterial small subunit ribosomal RNA", at positions 30 to 523 of the family's 1533-position model. The record is from RNAcentral.
AUUGAACGCUGGCGGCAUGCCUUACACAUGCAAGUCGAACGGUAACAGGUCUUCGGAUGCUGACGAGUGGCGAACGGGUGAGUAAUGCAUCGGAACGUGCCCAGUAGUGGGGGAUAGCCCGGCGAAAGCCGGAUUAAUACCGCAUACGACCUGAGGGUGAAAGGGGGGGAUCGCAAGACCUCUCGCUAUUGGAGCGGCCGAUGUCAGAUUAGCUAGUUGGUGGGGUAAAGGCCUACCAAGGCAACGAUCUGUAGUUGGUCUGAGAGGACGACCAGCCACACUGGGACUGAGACACGGGCCAGACUCCUACGGGAGGCAGCAGUGGGGAAUUUUGGACAAUGGGCGCAAGCCUGAUCCAGCCAUGCCGCGUGAGUGAAGAAGGCCUUCGGGUUGUAAAGCUCUUUCGGACGGGAAGAAAUCAUGAGGGCUAAUAUCCCUUGUGGAUGACGGUACCGUAAUAAGAAGCACCGGCUAACUACGUGCCAGCCGCCGCCGUAA